Podarcis lilfordi (Lilford's wall lizard) is the source of this 75-nucleotide non-coding RNA. The record is from the annotation of a GenBank genome assembly. Lineage: Eukaryota; Metazoa; Chordata; Lepidosauria; Squamata; Lacertidae.
GCUCUGGGAUAGCUUAGCUGGUAGAAUGUGAGUUUCUUAAUCUCAGGGCUGUUGGUUUGAGCCCCAUGUAGGGCU